UGUCUCCUCUCCGGUGCCCAAAAUCUUGGCGAACUCUCUAGAACUCAUCUUCGAAUUGUUAGUGCAUCGAACUAUUUGUCUUCAUCAUUGCAUUGACAAUGGUCCACACGAACUCUUCUUCUCUCCGGCGUCUCUUGUAUCUUGUGAUACACUUGACUUACAAGCCUACCAAUUGCAUCUAAUCUUUCAGCAUUGUUCAAGCUAUCAAUAAGCUUCAUAAUGAUCUACCAGCUUGAACUUAGCUGUAUCCCUUUGUGGACCAGUUCAAGAGUUUGUUGCCAGAUAAUGCCUGCAGCUCGAGCUUUUCCUCUGGAAAAACUUAUGAAUGCACUUCAUUUAUAUCAAAAGAAUAGUCUGCAAAAAAUAUUUAUUGAGUACAUCAUGCUGGAUAUGGUGAAUGAUGAAGAGCCACAUGCUUACCAGCUUGGCACACUGCUAGAGACAUCUCAAGUGGUAAGCUCUUAAAUUUUAAAGUUGGAGCAUGGGGAAUAAUUUUGUUAUUUUGUCCUGAUAACAGCCUUUUUUACAUCUGUGCUAAUCUAUGGAUAAACUUCAUUGGUGAUUUUGGAAGGCCUAGAAAUUUCCUUUUAUUUCUUGGGAAAAGUUGUUUCAUUGGUAUUUAAUUUUCUUCCAAUAACCUUUGUGGUUUGAUUCUUUUCAUAUCUACUAGGCUUUAGUUUGAGUUUGUUUGUGCUCAGGGGGAAUGAAUUUUUUAAUCGCUUCCAUGGAGGUUGACUUCUGUGGUAACGUUUGUUUGCUGCUUCUUGCAUAAGAUUGGUGAAAGUUGAAUUGCAAUGGUUUGUAAUGGUUCGUCAAGCCAGGACUUGGUUUUGUGCAUCUGAUCUUGGAUUUCCUUUGCCUUUUACCAGUGAAUUAGAAAACUGGGAUAUUUCUUAAUACUUGUAAUGUUAAACUCCUGCUAGGUAACAAUUGACGUUGCAAGUCCAGAAGCAGGUGUGAUUAAAGAGGGAAUGCUGAAAUGUCUAUUCUUAUUACUUUUCUAGUUCUUUGCACAAUGGUUAUUUUUUCCCCCAUCUCUGCUGUGAUUAGAUUUAUUAAUGUUGAUGCUAGCUUCUGUGUUU
This is a long non-coding RNA of Mangifera indica (mango), 1082 nucleotides long. RefSeq lists it as uncharacterized. The transcript is spliced from 3 exons. NCBI's taxonomy places the organism in Eukaryota, Viridiplantae, Streptophyta, Magnoliopsida, Sapindales, Anacardiaceae. The record is from RefSeq and is a predicted model, not a curated record.